Long non-coding RNA from Chrysemys picta bellii (western painted turtle), 4189 nucleotides. RefSeq lists it as uncharacterized. Lineage: Eukaryota; Metazoa; Chordata; Testudines; Emydidae. The record is from RefSeq and is a predicted model, not a curated record.
CCCAUUCAGUAGUCAUCUUAGGAAGGGUCAUAAUAAUUAGCAUACAUUUAAUAUUCGUAAAGCCUAAUACAAAUAUUCAACAUUACAGCAUCCUAGUUAAGUAUUAGUUUCCUCAUUUUACUUGUGGAGAAACAGACAUAGAGAAGUUAAUGUUUUGAUCCAGGAAAGCAAGCUGCCAUGAUACUUUGUUCUAUCUACUGAAGUCUCCAUCUGUCUACAGUGAUUGUCUCCCAAAAAACCUGAGAAUACAAAGUACCGAACGUGAGUCCCUAAAGAGUGAUAUGAGCCUGUGAGCUGACGUUACUACAUCAGAUGAGGAUAAAGCAUUGGUUACAUUUGACAAAGCCAAAACAGACGGUGGAAUUGUUGCUUGGAAUGGAGAAAUGUAGUGGCUUUGGACAACAGCUAGACCUGAACAUUGGCCUCUCACAGACUCUGGCACACAGCUGCACGGCACAUACCACAGUGACAAGCAAAGGGUGUGAAGCCUUUGAUGAGCUAAACUAUUCACGCCUAUCUUUAGCAUGUUAAUUAAACAGUCAUGCCCAUUAAUGUGAUUGAACUGAUUGAAAUGUGAAGCUUUGAAGGAACUGUCAUGUCAUAAAUCACUUGCAAAUUACUAAUCAUCACUUUAAUAACCAGUCAGACCUACUGACAUGGAUCACCUGUUCCUCUUUUCCAUGGUGCACUGGCAAUGGCAUAAUAUAUACUGGAGAACAUUUAACUGCAAAACAGCUGCUCAAUAUCAUGCUUACUGGGCCAGAUUUUCAGCUGGCCUUAACCUAGCUGUAACUAUGUGUAUGCAAAUUUUUCAAAUGCAGAUACUUGCAUGCUUAUUUGCUGUAUUUCUUUGCCUAAUAACAGAAUUUGCAAGCACAAAUAUAGCAACUGUGCAUGCAUAUUUGUGCAGAUGUGAUUAGGGACCAUGUUUUGAAAAAGUGUUGCACUGUGUCUACCAUAUUAAUAUUGACUAAAAGAACAAAAUUGUGUUCUCUCUCUCUCUCUCUAACUAGGUCUUAUAUGUCCCCCCACGUGAGCAUCCACCAAACAACAGAAAUUUCUCUCUCUCUUUUCUCCUUCCCAGCCUGGAGGAGAAAUUAUUUGAUUAAUAUAUAGGCUUAUUUGUUUGUUGAUACUUGCAAAAGCAGGUGUAGUAUUUGUAGAAUUUAUGGGUAUGUGUUUACUGCAGAGUUAACUCAGAUUAUCUACACUCAAGUUACUUCUCUCCAGUUAGCCUAGCUUGAGUGAGAGUCAAGCUGCUGUGUGCACACUAUCACUCACUUGUGUGUAUCAUACAGAGUAGUCAUGUGAGCAGCUGAUGAGUUGUGCUAACUUGAGCUUAGCCAUUCACCCUGGAUGGGCCAGUCAACUUUAGUUAAAGCAUCAAUGGUUUUUGUGUGUGGACAAGACUCAAGUUAUAACUCAAGUUAAUUUUGCAGUGAAACUAGUUCUUCCUCACAGAAUUGAAGUCAAAGAAAGGUGCUUUUGCAUUUAGAGUCCUAUGUUCAUUCCUAUUUCUUCUUUCAUAGUCUAGAUCCAGAUCCUUUGAAAAUUCUCCUCCACUCAUGAGCCUUCCCCUAUUGGUUGACAGUUUCAUGGUUCCAGUGGAACAUAGCUGUUGCGGGAUGUCAUGCUAAUGGCAGGAAUAGCAACCACUCAGGUAGUUAGGGCCAACCCUAUGGAAGGUUUUGAAUAUCACGACAGAAACACUGAACUGAACUCUGUAUUGAAUGGGGAGCCAGUGUAAAGAGCAGACCACCAGAGUGAUGAGUUCACAAUGAUCUAUGUUGUUAAGCAGAUGAGCUUUUAUGUUAUGUACCGUUUGGAACUGUAUACCCAGGAACGAAAUCUGUGGCUUCAUUCCUGGAUAUAAGGGCUCUAUCUCCCACUCCCAUGUGAACGUGUAUGGAAGAGAGGAAACUAACCAAUAAAUUAUGCAACUCUAAAACAGUCAUUGUGUGGAAGGCAUACUACCACUUUCACAGCAGGACCAGAAGCAGUAGGGCAGGGGCAGUCUGCAGCCUGAAAAAAGCUUUGAGAAGGGAUCCACUGGAAACCUUCACAUAUGCUCUUCAGUAUCUGACCAGAUGCCUGCAGAGACUCUCCCACUGUACUCCUCUAAAACAACCCAAGCACUGGUAACAUAGCUAGAGGCAGGGCCAUGCUGCUCUUAGCUUCCAGGACACAGCUGUGCUCUGUGACCCUCAGUGGGGGAAGGGUCACAGGGUGCAGCAAGGAACUUAAUGCUGUUCUAUACAGCAUGCAACUCUUUUAACAUGGUGUUUAUGCCACGUAGCCACAGGACUAUGGAGCAGCUAGCUAUGCCCUGACCUCACCCCAUGCUGCCUGGCCAAAGCCCUUUCCCUGUGUGUCCAGACUGCCAUGGAGGGCCUGAUACCAUUCAUGCAGAGGGCAGAGAGAGGGUGAAUCAUAUGGUGAGCCCUCCUUUCUGCUGCUCCACAUAGGGAAAUGGGUGUUGGUGCUAACAAGGGCUGUUGAUGUGGCAAAGUGAUGUGAGGGCAGUCAUUUGGAGCUACAGGGCUUGAUAAAAAAAACAUACAGUCUCAUUUUUAAGCCUCUUGUGUGACUUUGUACUUUUCUGAGCCUUUUCACAUGUGAAUUUUCUAAUGGAAGCCUUGUGUACUUGGAAAGCUUAUUCUGGUUACAAGUAUACAGGGUGACAGGUAAAUGAUUACUUUUCCUCUAUCACCACCUCUGAGCUGGGGAUUUUCCACUACAGUGUCAUUGCUUAGGGAAAGUUUUAAAAUGGCAGCAGAAUCUCAAACUGUCUGAUUCUAGUGCUGAUAUAGUGGUGCUUGAUUUGCUUGACUAAGGAAGCUGCUGGCAAAAAAAGCUACAGUUGGCAAUUUGCUUGUCUCCCUGCAUAUUUUGGCUCCAUAUCAAUGUUUUAAAGUUUUUUCCAGACGUGUGCAGAAUAAUCUGAACAGCUGUCAUGUGACCAAAUGUGAAUGUGAUGAGAACAUUUUACAUAUACAGUGUGAUGCCACAACUUAGUGUGAUAUGUUAUAAAUAACUAUCCGUGUUAAUGCUACUAAUAAAAACUAUAAUCUCAUUUAAGAAUAAGGAAGUAUUUGAUUCUUCAUUCACACUGUAUUAAUAUUUUAUCCUGAUAUAGGGAUCUGAUCCAGCAAACCCUUACAUGAAUAGUUCCAGCAUUAGGAUUGUAGGAAGGGCUACUGGCAUGAGUAAGUGGUUUCAGAGUUCAGCACCUAAUUAUCAUCAAAUAUAUAAUAUAUAUGAACUAUUAACAUCACAACCGGUCACUGGCCUCAGGAGCUGAUGCUCUCAUGAAAAGCUAAAUUGAUGUAACUUACACAUACUGCUUGCCUCACCAGUUCAUAAAUUACACCUAUUUAAACUUCCUUAGAUUCACUUCUAAACUUGGCCUUGUAAUCUCCAUACAGCUUGAAAUAAAACUGCAAAAGAGACUUGUGCCUCUGUUUUUUGUUUACUGUUACAGAAAGAUAACAUUAGUGACAGUAAGAGAAAGUAAAGAAACCUAACAGUUUUCAUUAACUGAAAACUUCAGUAUAUGAAGAAGAAUCAUUGUCAUGAGAAAAUGUGUGUUGAAUCAUUGAAGGAUAUACCAGACUGCAUCUCUUUAAAUCCAUGAUAUUUCAGUUAUAAGUUUUCAAACCAAGUAGUUUUCCUAUAUGUUCCACUUACUUUCUACUGCAAGGUGCAGGGAAGACUGAAAUGGUAUGCAGUGUUCAUUUAUCUGUCUAUGUUUUCAAAAGAACAUUUCUCAAAGGCAUUGCAGGAGCUUCAGCUUCAGUGUUGCUCCAUUGGAGUCAAUUUACACUAGCUGAUGAUCUGCACAUGAUGUAUAAUACACAGGCAACUUUGCAGGUGUGGAAAAUUUGCUUAAUUUUCUUAGGGCCAUGUCUUGCCAGCAUGUCACAUGUGGAACUCCCACAAAAGCUAAUGGGAUUUCUGCAUAACAACUGAUAGCAAGAUAGAACCCAAAAUUUGUAAUAACUAUGAAAGAAUUUUAAAGGUAGUAAUAAAUAUCUAUAUAUGUUUUUGCACAUUUUAUUUACAUAGAUCUAUUGUGCAUUUAUUUUCUACUUAGAUUUUUAAAGAUCACAUUUUUAUUUGUUCAUUUUCUGACAGUCUUCUGUUUUUAAUUUUUUAUUAUAAUUUUUUUUAAUUAGCACUCAGUCGGUGU